This is a long non-coding RNA of Thunnus maccoyii (southern bluefin tuna), 437 nucleotides long. RefSeq lists it as uncharacterized. The record is from RefSeq and is a predicted model, not a curated record. NCBI's taxonomy places the organism in Eukaryota, Metazoa, Chordata, Actinopteri, Scombriformes, Scombridae. The transcript is spliced from 3 exons.
GGUGGCUGGCAGCUGUGACCGCCACUCUCAAACCUCCAUCAGGUGGCAGGACGGCUGAGGAGGCGUGGGCCGUCAUCCCACAGUCCAACUCUACUGAGCAGACUCUGGCUCCAAAUGACAUCACACAAGCAAGAUGGCCGCACCCGGAAAGGAGAUGUCUUGGCUUCACUUUUGCUUAACGAUUCCCUGCUCUGUGCACUGUCAAACCCCUGGAAACUUGCUCACAGUGUCUCUCCUGUUCUCUCAACAUCUCUGCUGUGUCACAAGGGAAGCAGCUAUAGGAAAGCACUCAGAGAAUGGUAACUGGAUGGUGUAGAGUUCUUUAACUUAGACAAAACUGGAUUCAAACACAUUUUGGACCUCGUCUACUACUUCAGGCUUCUUAAGGUCAGACAUGGGUCACUUCUGGGGGCCAGCAUAGACCUGCUAGCAAUCCU